Molecule: ribosomal RNA, 255 nt
Filed under: uncultured bacterium
Lineage: Bacteria
Description: partial 16S ribosomal RNA
Rfam family: Bacterial small subunit ribosomal RNA
Source: RNAcentral
GACAGAGGGUGCAAACGUUGUUCGGAAUUACUGGGCGUAAAGCGCGUGUAGGCGGCUAUGUAAGUCGGACGUGAAAUCCCUCGGCUCAACCGGGGAACUGCGUCUGAUACUGGGUGGCUUGAAUUCGGGAGAGGGGAUGCGGAAUUCCCGGUGUAGCAGUGAAAUGCGUAGAGAUCGGGAGGAACACCAGUGGCGAAGGCGGCUACCUGGACCAGCACUGACACUGAAGCACGAAAGCGUGGGGAGCAAACAGGG